UAGGGAAUCUUCGGCAAUGGGGGCAACCCUGACCGAGCAACGCCGCGUGAGUGAAGAAGGUUUUCGGAUCGUAAAGCUCUGUUGUAAGAGAAGAACGUGUGUGAGAGUGGAAAGUUCACACAGUGACGGUAACUUACCAGACAGGGACGGCUAACUACGUGCCAGCAGCCGCGGUAAUACGUAGGUCCCGAGCGUUGUCCGGAUUUAUUGGGCGUAAAGCGAGCGCAGGCGGUUUAAUAAGUCUGAAGUUAAAGGCAGUGGCUUAACCAUUGUUCGCUUUGGAAACUGGUAAACUUGAGUGCAGAAGGGGAGAGUGGAAUUCCAUGUGGAGCGGUGAAAUGCGUAGAUAUAUGGAGGAACACCGGUGGCGAAAGCGGCUCUCUGGUCUGUAACUGACGCUGAGGCUAGAAAGCGUGGGGAGCAAACAGG
This 429-nucleotide ribosomal RNA is filed under the name bacterium. Its description in RNAcentral is "partial 16S ribosomal RNA". It matches the Rfam family "Bacterial small subunit ribosomal RNA", at positions 355 to 776 of the family's 1533-position model. The record is from RNAcentral.